CGCCGCGUGAGUGAUGAAGGUUUUCGGAUCGUAAAGCUCUGUUGUUAGGGAAGAACAAGUGCGAGAGUAACUGCUCGCACCUUGACGGUACCUAACCAGAAAGCCACGGCUAACUACGUGCCAGCAGCCGCGGUAAUACGUAGGUGGCAAGCGUUGUCCGGAAUUAUUGGGCGUAAAGGGCUCGCAGGCGGUUUCUUAAGUCUGAUGUGAAAGCCCCCGGCUCAACCGGGGAGGGUCAUUGGAAACUGGGAAACUUGAGUGCAGAAGAGGAGAGUGGAAUUCCACGUGUAGCGGUGAAAUGCGUAGAGAUGUGGAGGAACACCAGUGGCGAAGGCGACUCUCUGGUCUGUAACUGACGCUGAGGAGCGAAAGCGUGGGGAGCGAACAGGAUUAGAUACCCUGGUAGUCCACGCCGUAAACGAUGAGUGCUAAGUGUUAGGGGGUUUCCGCCCCUUAGUGCUGCAGCUAACGCAUUAAGCACUCCGCCUGGGGAGUACGGUCGCAAGACUGAAACUCAAAGGAAUUGACGGGGGCCCGCACAAGCGGUGGAGCAUGUGGUUUAAUUCGAAGCAACGCGAAGAACCUUACCAGGUCUUGACAUCCUCUGACAACCCUAGAGAUAGGGCUUUCCCUUCGGGGACAGAGUGACAGGUGGUGCAUGGUUGUCGUCAGCUCGUGUCGUGAGAUGUUGGGUUAAGUCCCGCAACGAGCGCAACCCUUGAUCUUAGUUGCCAGCAUUUAGUUGGGCACUCUAAAG
This 757-nucleotide ribosomal RNA is filed under the name Bacillus sp. (in: firmicutes). RNAcentral's name for it is "bacterial SSU rRNA". It matches the Rfam family "Bacterial small subunit ribosomal RNA", at positions 395 to 1145 of the family's 1533-position model. The record is from RNAcentral. Lineage: Bacteria; Bacillati; Bacillota; Bacilli; Caryophanales; Bacillaceae.